GUGGGGAAUAUUGGACAAUGGGCGCAAGCCUGAUCCAGCCAUACCGCGUGGGUGAAGAAGGCCUUCGGGUUGUAAAGCCCUUUUGUUGGGAAAGAAAUCCUGUCGGUUAAUACCUGGCGGGGAUGACGGUACCCAAAGAAUAAGCACCGGCUAACUUCGUGCCAGCAGCCGCGGUAAUACGAAGGGUGCAAGCGUUACUCGGAAUUACUGGGCGUAAAGCGUGCGUAGGUGGUGGUUUAAGUCCGUUGUGAAAGCCCUGGGCUCAACCUGGGAAUUGCAGUGGAUACUGGAUCACUAGAGUGUGGUAGAGGGAUGCGGAAUUUCUGGUGUAGCAGUGAAAUGCGUAGAGAUCAGAAGGAACAUCCGUGGCGAAGGCGGCAUCCUGGGCCAACACUGACACUGAGGCACGAAAGCGUGGGGAGCAAACAGGAUUAGAUACCCUGGUAGUCC
This 450-nucleotide ribosomal RNA is filed under the name uncultured bacterium. RNAcentral's name for it is "bacterial SSU rRNA". It matches the Rfam family "Bacterial small subunit ribosomal RNA", at positions 354 to 796 of the family's 1533-position model. The record is from RNAcentral.